This 372-nucleotide ribosomal RNA is filed under the name uncultured organism. RNAcentral describes it as "bacterial SSU rRNA". It matches the Rfam family "Bacterial small subunit ribosomal RNA", at positions 526 to 896 of the family's 1533-position model. The record is from RNAcentral.
CGUAGGGUGCGAGCGUUAAUCGGAAUUACUGGGCGUAAAGUGUGCGCAGGCGGCCGCGCAAGUCGAGUGUGAAAGCCCCGAGCUUAACUUGGGAACUGCGCUCGAAACUACGUGGCUGGAGUGUGGCAGAGGAAGGUGGAAUUCCAGGUGUAGCGGUGAAAUGCGUAGAGAUCUGGAGGAACACCGAUGGCGAAGGCAGCCUUCUGGGCCAACACUGACGCUCAUGCACGAAAGCGUGGGGAGCAGACAGGAUUAGAUACCCUGGUAGUCCACGCCCUAAACGAUGAUGACUAGUUGUUGGAGGAGUUAAAUCCUUUAGUAACGCAGCUAACGCGUGAAGUCAUCCGCCUGGGGAGUACGGUCGCAAGAUUA